ACAGAGGUCUCAAGCGUUGUUCGGAUUCAUUGGGCGUAAAGGGUGCGUAGGCGGCGGGGUAAGUCGGAUGUGAAAUCCCGGGGCUCAACCCCGGAACUGCAUUCGAUACUGCCUUGCUAGAGUACUGGAGAGGAGACUGGAAUUUACGGUGUAGCAGUGAAAUGCGUAGAUAUCGUAAGGAAGACCAGUGGCGAAGGCGAGUCUCUGGACAGUUACUGACGCUGAGGCACGAAGGCCAGGGGAGCAAACGGGAUUAGAUACCCCGGUAGUCCUGGCAGUAAACGGUGCAUGUUUGGUGUGGGAGGAUUCGACCCCUUCCGUGCCGGAGCUAACGCGUUAAACAUGCCGCCUGGGGAGUACGGUCGCAAGAUUA
RNAcentral lists this ribosomal RNA (373 nucleotides) under uncultured bacterium. RNAcentral's name for it is "bacterial SSU rRNA". It matches the Rfam family "Bacterial small subunit ribosomal RNA", at positions 525 to 896 of the family's 1533-position model. The record is from RNAcentral.